UUACAUGAUACCAUCUUCCUUUAUUUCCAGUUCUUUUGUUAUUAACUCCUUACAUUUUGUUGCUGGUCUUGUUAUUGUUCAGUGGGUCAGUUUCCUGCUUGGAACAAUGUCAUGGCAAUAGGGUUUUAUAGUACGCCCUAUAAAUAUACAAUUCAAAUAAAAAUUUAAUUUAAUAUUAGAAAAAAUAUUAAUUUAAUAAAAUAAAAUCAUUAUUUGAUUAAAAAACGCAACUUUUAUGUUCUCUAGUGAUGGUGAAUAAGAUUUGUAGUGGUGGUGGUAGUGGCUAGUAAUGGUGGUGCUGAAAGCUAUGAUGGUACAAGUGGUUGAUAUUGGAGUGACUAUUAUGAUGGUGGUGAUUGGUAGUACUGGUGUUGGUGAAGUUAAUUUAUGUUAGUAGUUGGGUGGUGACUGAAGAAUGUGGUGGUAGUUGGCGGUGGUUCUAGUUGUGGUUGAGAUGGUUACAAUAAGGAUUGACCACAAUGGUGGUAGUGGGCUGAUGGUGGUGGCGCUGAAGAAUGUGUGUGAUGGUUAACAAAGUGUUGGUGCUAGUUCGCGGUAGCGCUAGUUGUGAUGGUGGAGUUGGCUGGUAGUAGGUAUUGGUGGUUGAUAGUGGUGGUGGAGAUGGCGACAAUGGAUAUAGUAUAAUACGAAGGUGGUAGAUUGUGAUGACAAAGGUGGUUAGUGGUGAUGUCAGGUGAUUAUGGAUGGAGUGGUGGUGAAUAUUAUAUUGCACACAAAUACCUCUUAAUGAUAUUAAGACUUAGUUCAAGAUCGUAGUGAUUAAGACCUAUUCAGACCAAUUAAGUGCUUCAAUCUUAAUGAAAACAAAUGCACUUAAUGGCCUAAUUCAGGCCUCCACUAAAUGCAAGCAAAUGAUGCCUAACUAUUUCCCCCAAAAGCAAAUGUUCCAGCUUUUAAGAAGAUCAACAGUAUUUUUAGGCACACACCGUUGAUUCCCACAACAUUGAGUAAUAGUUUCCAUAGUUGGAUAGUAAAAGAGAAAUGAAGAUACAAAUGGCUAUUAGUUUCAGUGUCCAAAAAAAAUGGCUAUUAGUUUCUGUGGUUGUCUUGCAAAACUAACAUCUGGAGCAUAGUUGGAACCUCAUUCUUCUCAGCCUUUCUUGAGUCAAAACUGCCUGUCUCGCCACCAACCAAGUGAGACAAAAAAAAACUAUGAAGGGGCAAUUUUUUUCAAAUUGGCUUCCAUGGAUAGCCAUCAAUCUGUUGGACACAGUUACCAAUUAUCAGAUUGGCAGACUUGACUGGGAAAUUCCCAUCUCUAUAAUGAUUUCACUGCACCUCUGCAUCUGUUAACCCCCUGAAAAUCCUCCAGAGUCUCUAAGAACUCCAAUGUUCCUUCAAUUUCCCAAUCAUUUAGAGCCCUCUAGAAGGUAAUGUUCCACCCUGGCAUCUCCUAAACAGUGUUGUCAAAAGCAAAAAGCGCAAAAGAGCUCUAAGGUACGUCGAGGCUUUAAGUGCAAAGCUUUGCGCAAGUAAAGCAUGUGAUUUAAUGUAAAAAGGCGCAAAGAGAGAAUAAAAUACAAAUAUAUAUUUACUCCAAGACUGAUAAUUUAUAAGCAUGAAUGACAAAUAUAAGAACAAAGAAAUUGAGAAAUAAUUAGUAUAAAGUGAAAUAACAACUGCUUAGUGUUAUCUCUUCAGUAGAGUUCAUUGGCAAGGAAAAGUAUGUCUUAGAACCUUGAUGAUGACACUGAAGUGCACAUUGAGCAAGGGGGAAGCACUCAACACAUUUUGAACCUUGUACCAGGGUUUAACCGCACCUUUGAUAACACUGCUCCUUAAUUAUGGGUAAAUAAAAGCAUAUGGGUUGAUUGAGAUACUGAACAAAUCAGGAAAACAAUCUUGCAAAUACGCAUGCCUUAAUCAGUUGACUGAAUGUAGAACAAGGUCUUUCUACCAUUAUCAACCUAGAUGCUAGAGUUCUCUGCUUCAUCAAAAAAAAAAAAGAUGUUAGAGUUCUCUAAAAACAAAUUCCAGUGUUGUCUAAUGGAUCUGCACACCCCUAUAGACCAUAAGGGUUGUUAACAUGAAGUGUGAACCACAACCUUUCCUGACCAUACUUGUCGCAAAUUACCCUUCUCGAUAAGCUAUUCUCUUUCAUAUUAUACCUGCACAACUAUUUCAUCAAAAGACUAGUAUUUUGAGCAUUUAAAUCCCUAAUUCCCAGGCCUCCUUUUUAUUUGGUAGUGAUUAGAUUAGAGACUUCCACUAGAUCAGGUGCAUAACUUGUUCGUCCUUGUUUUGUUUGCCAAAUGAAAUUUCUCUUUAAAGCAUCAAUUCUAACCCUUGCCUGGUAAGGGGAACAAAGACAUCACAUAAGUUGGUAAAGCAUCGAACAUACUAUUAACCAAAAUAACUAUACCACGAAAGAUAAAUACUGACUUGUCCAGCUAGCCAAUCUCUUCUCACAUCUUUGAAUCACUUUAUUCCAUAUUUCAAUGACCUUGUUUUGGAAACCUAAAGAGAGACCCAAAUAUACCGUUGGUAGGGUCCCAGCUCACAUCCCAAAAGUGCUGCCAAUGACUGGAAAUUGUCAACCACAUCAAUUAGAAAACGGAAGCAGGACAAAUAUACUAUCACAAAUAGUAUGUCAAUAGCCUCCGUUAUACUUCAAGAUUGUAUACACCCUUACCAUCAAUCUUUUGGGUUGUGUAUACCCUUAAAGCUAACGGAUGGACACAUGGCUCAAUCUCAAUAAUUUUCCCUAUUUUAUAUUAAAAUUUUUAUCCAAAAUUAAAAAAAAAGCCCAUCUUUUUUUUUAAUUUUAUUUUAAACCCAUUCCACCCACAAACAAAAUAAGAUAACCCUUCAUCUUUCUUUGUAAUGGAUCAUCAGUGGUCCCUUGCUGACCAAAAAAAAAAAGAAAACUUUCAUCUUCAAGAAUGAGGCCAGUGCAUCCUCCCAAAAGUUUCAAAGAAUAACAGUGUACCAACCCCUUUCGACAACACAAAUUGAUCAUGAAGGUAAAAAUCUUAACAUGGAAUGUAAGGGGGUUGAACAAUGAGGAUAAAAGGAGACAAAAAAAAAUCCUUGGUUCAGGGGGAGCAAUACAUCUAUGAAUUCAUAGAAACUAAAUUAUGGGGACAACUUUGGGGAACAGAUGGGUUGGAGGGGUAUGGGUGGACUCCAUUGGUAGAAGUGGUGGAAUCAUUGUAUUAUGGGACAAGAGGGAAUGGAAAGGGGAGCUCAUCGACAGUGGCAUUUAGAUGCUCCCUUAUAAACUAUUUGGGAUCAGCCAAGACUUGACUUGGUGUCUUCCUGUUGUAUAUUCAGAGUGUGACAGAAAAGAAAGAGAAGAGUUGUGGUGGGAGAUCUCAGCUAUUAGAGGAAUAUGUGAAGGGCCCUGGGUGAUUUUUGGGGACUUAAAUGUAUCCAGAUUUCCCUCUGAAAGGACAAACUAUAACAGAAUAACCAGAGCCAUGGCUGAUUUCAACCAAUGCAUAAAUGAUCUUGAGUUACUGGAUCCACCUCUUUCCGGAGGUUAUACAUGGAGAAGAGGUCAAAAUCACAGUUGUGCCACAAGAAUAGAAAGAUUCUUGUUCUCUUCCUCAGGAGGAAGGAUUCAUAGACAAAGUGAGAGAAUGGUGGAGCGGCUUCAAUUCCACUGGCUGAAUUGAUUUUCAAUUGGCUAAGCUCAGUCAAUUGAAAGUCAAGAUCAAAGAAUGGAGCAAAGCUAACAAGAACAACUGGAAGGAAAGUAAAAAUCAGAUUCUGUCACAAGUGGAAAUCUGGAAUCCAUUCAGGAUCUCAAACUUUUGUACAGAUGAUGAACGGUUGGAGAAAAUUCAGCUGGCUAUGGAGUUUGAAGAGGUGUCCAGAAAUGAGGAAAUUUCUGGAGGUAGAGAUCCAGGGUACAACGGGUCAAAAAAUGGUGACAAAAACACCUGGUACUUCCACGGAAUGGCCAAUGCUCACAGAAGAUUCAACUCCAUUGACAGCCUCAAAGUCGAGGGUUGAAGUUACUGAUCUUGAAGAAAUAAAAAUUCCAUAGUGAGCUUCUAUCAGGAACUCUACAAGGAGUCUGAGAAAGCCAAAAGGAAAGGUUCUUCGACUGAAGCCCGAGUCGACUUUUUGGAGUUUAAGAAGGUUUAAAUCAUUGCCCACUUAAUACAUUGUUUCCUUUUUUUAGUGGUGCACCCAUGCUCAAGAAAUUCUAGAUUCGCCUCUGAAUUGUCAAAAAGCAUAAAAGGUUUUGAGGGCUAGGUAUCAGUUCCCACUUAAUAAAUUUUUUUCUUUCAGUGGUGCACCCAUGAUAUAGAAAUCCUAGAUUCGCCCCUGAAUUUAACUCUUUAUCUUCUACAAAAACUGAAUUCGACACACACCUUUCAUCAGAAUAGGGUGUUAGUCUCUUACUAUCUCCAAAACACUGUGACACCUCUCCAAAAUAGCGAUUAGGGUUCUUGUUGAAAUUGCCUUCAUUUGUCCCGGUGACUUUCAUCACCGGAGGGCUUUCACACCAUAUCUGCAUUUCAAAGCUCUGCUCGAUCUCGACACUACUCGGAUUCUUCUCUAGAGAACCUUUUACCUUAGUUCUGGCCUAUUUCAGAUGAUUUUUUAGAAGAGUAUCUUCUUUCGUUUCUAUCCCUCCACAUUUCCCCCCUAUUUCCUUGACAAGGUGGUUUUAUGCAGGUGGCUUCCUCAAGCUGAAAUUUAAUGUGGUCUAUUUCCUAGGGAUUGAUGUAGUGUUUUUUUUGUUUGGAGCAAAACUUACUGAAAUUUUCUUUCAGAAAAUUAAAAGAAAAAAUAAAAGCUUAUCAUAGUUAGGAAA
Non-coding RNA from Solanum lycopersicum (tomato), 4789 nucleotides. Lineage: Eukaryota; Viridiplantae; Streptophyta; Magnoliopsida; Solanales; Solanaceae. The record is from RefSeq and is a predicted model, not a curated record.